GAGCACAGCCAUAUCACUCUGCAGCCCAAGACCGGUUACUCACUGAAGCUAAGCAGGGCUAAGCCUGGCCAGUACCUGGAUGGGAGACCACUAGGGAACACUAGGUUGCUGUUGGAA
Molecule: ribosomal RNA, 117 nt
Filed under: Danio rerio (zebrafish)
Lineage: Eukaryota; Metazoa; Chordata; Actinopteri; Cypriniformes; Danionidae
Source: RNAcentral